This 596-nucleotide unclassified non-coding RNA is filed under the name Hevea brasiliensis (rubber tree). The record is from RNAcentral. Lineage: Eukaryota; Viridiplantae; Streptophyta; Magnoliopsida; Malpighiales; Euphorbiaceae.
AAUAGAGGCUGAGAUUUGUGGAAAAGGACCUUGCGAACAGACCCAUCAUGCUUAUCAAAACUAUCAAUUAAUGUCCCCAUUCAGUAGUCCCAUAGCUGGAUCACACCACUUUGAAGGCUCACAAGGAUCCACGGUCUCCUACUGUCGAAACUCAGUCCUUUCGCUCUAUUACUCUUCUUCUUAAACUUUAUCAACAUCUUCUUCGAUCAAAUAGAACAACCUUUUCCAAAAGAACAACUCAAUCAAUUUCAGAGAAUUAUCGUAAACUCACAGAUGUAGCAUUAAGGUGAGGGUGAGAAGCGAAAGGGAAGAAGAUGAAGAAGAAGAAGAUGAAGUUGGGGAAUCUGGUGAUAGCGAUGUGGAAGGACAUUUGGAGGUGGAGAGACGGCUGGAUCAUGAUCUAAGUAGGUUUGAAAUGAUAUGCCCAACUUCUGGUGGUGAAGAGCAGAGUACCCUUUUGGAGAGUAGAGUGGAUGAUCGAGAUUGUCACAUAUCCCAGCUUGAGGAGGAGAAUUUGACAUUGAAGGAAAGGGUAUUUUUCAUGGAGAAAGAGUUAGAAGACCUAAGAAGAAGGGUUCAAUGCUUGGAAACUGAAG